GACGAACGCUGGCGGCGUGCUUAACACAUGCAAGUCGAACGGAAAGGCCCUGCUUUUGUGGGGUGCUCGAGUGGCGAACGGGUGAGUAACACGUGAGUAACCUGCCCUUGACUUUGGGAUAACUUCAGGAAACUGGGGCUAAUACCGGAUAGGAGCUCCUGCUGCAUGGUGGGGGUUGGAAAGUUUCGGCGGUUGGGGAUGGACUCGCGGCUUAUCAGCUUGUUGGUGGGGUAGUGGCUUACCAAGGCUUUGACGGGUAGCCGGCCUGAGAGGGUGGCCGGCCACGUUGGGGCCGAGGAGCGGCCGCCACCCCUCCGGGUGCAAGGGGUGGGGAUUUUACCGAAUCGGGCGGAGGCGGCGUAAGGCAGCGCCGGAGGGGGGAUGAGGGCUUCGGGGGUAUAAGCCGCUUUUGCCCAUGACCCGGCAGCAGUCCCGGUAGUUGUAAAAAGAGAACCGGCAAACGUCGU
Molecule: ribosomal RNA, 467 nt
Filed under: uncultured bacterium
Lineage: Bacteria
Description: partial 16S ribosomal RNA
Rfam family: Bacterial small subunit ribosomal RNA
Source: RNAcentral